RNAcentral lists this non-coding RNA (18 nucleotides) under Arabidopsis thaliana (thale cress). Lineage: Eukaryota; Viridiplantae; Streptophyta; Magnoliopsida; Brassicales; Brassicaceae. The record is from RNAcentral.
GCCCGUCUAGCUCAGUUG